UUACUGAGUCUAGAACUCACCAAACCCACUGUGAACAUACCACUGUUGCCUCGGCGGGAUCGCCCUGGAGCUCCGCGCGCCAGAAUCAGGCCCUCGCCGCAGGACCCAAAACUCUGUAUCUUGCAAGUAUUUUCUGAGUUUGGCCUUAGGGCAAAAAUAAGUCAAAACUUUCAACAACGGAUCUCUUGGCUCUGGCAUCGAUGAAGAACGCAGCGAAAUGCGAUAAGUAAUGUGAAUUGCAGAAUCCAGUGAAUCAUCGAAUCUUUGAACGCACAUUGCGCCCGCCAGUAUUCUGGCGGGCAUGCCUGUCCGAGCGUCAUUUCAACCCCUCAGGCCCCUGGGCCUGGUGUUGGGGAUCAGCGCAGGUUCGCCCGCUGGCCCUGAAAUACAGUGGCGGUCUCGCCGCGUUUCUCCGGUGCGUAGUAGCAACACGUCGCACCCGAGGCCGCGCCUGGCCACGCCGUAAAACCCCCUAUAUUUUUUUGGUUGACCUCGGAUCAGGUAGGGAUACCCGCUGAACUUAAGCAUAUCAAUAAGCGGAGGAAAAGAAACCAACAGGGAUUGCCCUAGUAACGGCGAGUGAAGCGGCAACAGCUCAAAUUUGAAAUCUGGCCCUCGGGUCCGAGUUGUAAUUUGCAGAGGAUGCUUUUGGUGAGGUGCCUUCCGAGUUCCCUGGAACGGGACGCCAUAGAGGGUGAGAGCCCCGUCUGGUUGGACGCCGAGCCUCUGUAAAGCUCCUUCGACGAGUCGAGUAGUUUGGGAAUGCUGCUCAAAACGGGAGGUAUAUGUCUUCUAAAGCUAAAUACCGGCCAGAGACCGAUAGCGCACAAGUAGAGUGAUCGAAAGAUGAAAAGCACUUUGAAAAGAGGGUUAAAUAGUACGUGAAAUUGUUGAAAGGGAAGCACUUAUGACCGGACCUGGGCUUGGUUGAUCAUCCGGCGUUCUCGCCGGUGCACUCUGCCGGUUCAGGCCAGCAUCAGUUCGUUCCGGGGGACAAAGGCGGCGGGAACGUGGCUCCCUCGGGAGUGUUAUAGCCCGUCGUGCAAUA
RNAcentral lists this ribosomal RNA (1048 nucleotides) under uncultured fungus. RNAcentral's name for it is "eukaryotic LSU rRNA". The stretch from base 488 to 1048 matches the Rfam family "Eukaryotic large subunit ribosomal RNA", at positions 1 to 573 of the family's 3401-position model. The record is from RNAcentral. Lineage: Eukaryota; Fungi.